UAGGGAAUCUUCCACAAUGGACGCAAGUCUGAUGGAGCAACGCCGCGUGAGUGAAGAAGGUUUUCGGACCGUAAAGCUCUGUUGUUGGUGAAGAAGGAUAGAGGUAGUAACUGGCCUUUAUUUGACGGUAAUCAACCAGAAAGUCACGGCUAACUACGUGCCAGCAGCCGCGGUAAUACGUAGGUGGCAAGCGUUGUCCGGAUUUAUUGGGCGUAAAGCGAGCGCAGGCGGAAGAAUAAGUCUGAUGUGAAAGCCCUCGGCUUAACCGAGGAAUUGCAUCGGAAACUGUUUUCUUGAGUGCAGAAGAGGAGAGUAGAACUCCAUGUGUAGCGGUGGUUUAAUGCGUAGAUAUAUGGAAGAAUACCAGUGGCGAAGGCGGCUCUCUGGUCUGCAACUGACGCUGAGGNUCGAAAGCAUGGGUAGCGACAGGAUUAGAUACCCUGGUAG
This 447-nucleotide ribosomal RNA is filed under the name uncultured bacterium. Its description in RNAcentral is "partial 16S ribosomal RNA". It matches the Rfam family "Bacterial small subunit ribosomal RNA", at positions 355 to 793 of the family's 1533-position model. The record is from RNAcentral.